UGACAGUAACGAAGAAAGCAAAGACAG
This 27-nucleotide non-coding RNA is filed under the name Cricetulus griseus (Chinese hamster). Lineage: Eukaryota; Metazoa; Chordata; Mammalia; Rodentia; Cricetidae. The record is from RNAcentral.